RNAcentral lists this ribosomal RNA (488 nucleotides) under Salmonella enterica subsp. enterica serovar London. RNAcentral's name for it is "bacterial SSU rRNA". It matches the Rfam family "Bacterial small subunit ribosomal RNA", at positions 30 to 506 of the family's 1533-position model. The record is from RNAcentral. Lineage: Bacteria; Pseudomonadati; Pseudomonadota; Gammaproteobacteria; Enterobacterales; Enterobacteriaceae.
UUGAACGCUGGCGGCAGGCCUAACACAUGCAAGUCGAACGGUAACAGGAAGCAGCUUGCUGCUUYGCUGACGAGUGGCGGACGGGUGAGUAAUGUCUGGGAAACUGCCUGAUGGAGGGGGAUAACUACUGGAAACGGUGGCUAAUACCGCAUAACGUCGCAAGACCAAAGAGGGGGACCUUCGGGCCUCUUGCCAUCAGAUGUGCCCAGAUGGGAUUAGCUWGUUGGUGAGGUAACGGCUCACCAAGGCGACGAUCCCUAGCUGGUCUGAGAGGAUGACCAGCCACACUGGAACUGAGACACGGUCCAGACUCCUACGGGAGGCAGCAGUGGGGAAUAUUGCACAAUGGGCGCAAGCCUGAUGCAGCCAUGCCGCGUGUAUGAAGAAGGCCUUCGGGUUGUAAAGUACUUUCAGCGGGGAGGAAGGUGUUGUGGUUAAUAACCACAGCAAUUGACGUUACCCGCAGAAGAAGCACCGGCUAACUCCGU